GGGUGACGAAACGCGUGGGAGGGCCCGGGGGGGCAGGGCUUCCGGGGGUGGUUUCCUCGCCUUUAAUUUUGGACAUUUGAAUAUGGGGUAAAACACAAUCCUCAAAGAGAAAGGCCAAUUGUGGGUUCUGGGAGUGUGAGGCGGUUCCUGGGGCACUACCCAUCAUUACGACAUUUGCUCACAUUUUCUGCCAUUCCCACAGGAGGCCAGAAUCUUCCAUGAAUGGACAGGAAAUUAUGACUUUCUUCAAGACUCCAUAGGUCUUGCUCAGUGGUUAUCCACAGAAUCCUACUGAAUAAAGGUCACUCUUUUGGGUACUGCCCAUGCUAUUCAAACGAGCCGCACACCCAGCCUCAGGGCACUCCCGUGCUGGUUGCGGGGUUCAGAAGACGGCAAAAAUUAAAGUCCCCAAAGGGAUCAGUGCUCCGGGAAAGGUGGAAGGGACACGUGGAGAUCUGGAAGAGCCCCACAAAGGCAGCAAGAUGUGCCUUGGGCUCCGGAGGCAGAGCCAACGUUGGGGCUGUCGGACAAAAGACCGAAGUCUGUGUUUGCUGAAUUAAUGAAGGAACCUGACGGUGCCUGACAUGCAGCAAGUGCCAAACAAGAGUUUAACAUAAUGAGUCUGUUUCUGGGGUCCAACGCAGCUGCGAUUAAAUAUUGUGCUUUUGCUGUC
This is a non-coding RNA of Manis javanica (Malayan pangolin), 673 nucleotides long. The record is from RefSeq and is a predicted model, not a curated record. Lineage: Eukaryota; Metazoa; Chordata; Mammalia; Pholidota; Manidae.